Molecule: ribosomal RNA, 510 nt
Filed under: Triticum aestivum (bread wheat)
Lineage: Eukaryota; Viridiplantae; Streptophyta; Magnoliopsida; Poales; Poaceae
Description: partial small subunit ribosomal RNA
Source: RNAcentral
AUGGGUGGAGGAGGCUGGUGCGGCAGAGGUGUUGGACAACAAGGGGAAGCUCUGGCUGACCACCGGCAUAGCACGGGCGGCAAGCUCUACUACAAUGUGGAGGAGAUCGGGUUCUUGGCAAAAAGAGGGGCAUUGGUUCUUCUUGAUGACAAGGAUGAAACAGUUGGAAUGGAGGAUAUCUAUGGAAAGAUUGCAACAGGAAGUUAUGGGUGCUCCUGGGAUGCCUUCCAAGCUUACAGGCACUUGAAGUUGCUUGGCUACAUUGUUGGACGGUAUGACAUUCCCUGGACAAUGAAGCAAUUCCGUUCUGGUGAUGUCACCAAUUCCCCCGUGAGUAUGGAUGGCACAAGCCAGAGCUUUGGUAAAGCCAAUGGUGCCUGCAAUGACAUUACCAAAUUGCUCGAAGGAAUGCGCAUAGAAGGGAUGUAUCCAUCCUUUAAAGUGCAUCUACCAAAUAGCAAAUUUAAGAAGUCGUCCCAGGAGUCCCUAGUUUUCUUGUAUGUCUGUUAA